This 1135-nucleotide ribosomal RNA is filed under the name Staphylococcus aureus. Its description in RNAcentral is "partial 23S ribosomal RNA". It matches the Rfam family "Bacterial large subunit ribosomal RNA", at positions 328 to 1469 of the family's 2925-position model. Lineage: Bacteria; Bacillati; Bacillota; Bacilli; Caryophanales; Staphylococcaceae. The record is from RNAcentral.
AUUAGACGAAUCAUCUGGAAAGAUGAAUCAAAGAAGGUAAUAAUCCUGUAGUCGAAAAUGUUGUCUCUCUUGAGUGGAUCCUGAGUACGACGGAGCACGUGAAAUUCCGUCGGAAUCUGGGAGGACCAUCUCCUAAGGCUAAAUACUCUCUAGUGACCGAUAGUGAACCAGUACCGUGAGGGAAAGGUGAAAAGCACCCCGGAAGGGGAGUGAAAUAGAACCUGAAACCGUGUGCUUACAAGUAGUCAGAGCCCGUUAAUGGGUGAUGGCGUGCCUUUUGUAGAAUGAACCGGCGAGUUACGAUUUGAUGCAAGGUUAAGCAGUAAAUGUGGAGCCGUAGCGAAAGCGAGUCUGAAUAGGGCGUUUAGUAUUUGGUCGUAGACCCGAAACCAGGUGAUCUACCCUUGGUCAGGUUGAAGUUCAGGUAACACUGAAUGGAGGACCGAACCGACUUACGUUGAAAAGUGAGCGGAUGAACUGAGGGUAGCGGAGAAAUUCCAAUCGAACCUGGAGAUAGCUGGUUCUCUCCGAAAUAGCUUUAGGGCUAGCCUCAAGUGAUGAUUAUUGGAGGUAGAGCACUGUUUGGACGAGGGGCCCCUCUCGGGUUACCGAAUUCAGACAAACUCCGAAUGCCAAUUAAUUUAACUUGGGAGUCAGAACAUGGGUGAUAAGGUCCGUGUUCGAAAGGGAAACAGCCCAGACCACCAGCUAAGGUCCCAAAAUAUAUGUUAAGUGGAAAAGGAUGUGGCGUUGCCCAGACAACUAGGAUGUUGGCUUAGAAGCAGCCAUCAUUUAAAGAGUGCGUAAUAGCUCACUAGUCGAGUGACACUGCGCCGAAAAUGUACCGGGGCUAAACAUAUUACCGAAGCUGUGGAUUGUCCUUUGGACAAUGGUAGGAGAGCGUUCUAAGGGCGUUGAAGCAUGAUCGUAAGGACAUGUGGAGCGCUUAGAAGUGAGAAUGCCGGUGUGAGUAGCGAAAGACGGGUGAGAAUCCCGUCCACCGAUUGACUAAGGUUUCCAGAGGAAGGCUCGUCCGCUCUGGGUUAGUCGGGUCCUAAGCUGAGGCCGACAGGCGUAGGCGAUGGAUAACAGGUUGAUAUUCCUGUACCACCUAUAAUCGUUUUAAUCGAUGGGG